This 425-nucleotide ribosomal RNA is filed under the name uncultured bacterium. RNAcentral's name for it is "partial 16S ribosomal RNA". It matches the Rfam family "Bacterial small subunit ribosomal RNA", at positions 354 to 796 of the family's 1533-position model. The record is from RNAcentral.
GUGGGGAAUAUUGGACAAUGGGCGAAAGCCUGAUCCAGCAAUGCCGCGUGAGUGAUGAAGGCCUUAGGGUUGUAAAGCUCUUUUACCCGGGAUGAUAAUGACAGUACCGGGAGAAUAAGCUCCGGCUAACUCCGUGCCAGCAGCCGCGGUAAUACGGAGGGAGCUAGCGUUGUUCGGAAUUACUGGGCGUAAAGCGCACGUAGGCGGCUUUGUAAGUUAGAUGUGAAAGCCUGGAGCUUAACUCCAGAACUGCCUUUAAGACUGCAUCGCUUGAAUCCAGGAGAGGUGAGUGGAAUUCCGAGUGUAGAGGUGAAAUUCGUAGAUAUUCGGAAGAACACCAGUGGCGAAGGCGGCUCACUGGACUGGUAUUGACGCUGAGGUGCGAAAGCGUGGGGAGCAAACAGGAUUAGAAACCCGAGUAGUCC